This 3112-nucleotide ribosomal RNA is filed under the name Salmonella enterica. Its description in RNAcentral is "23S ribosomal RNA". It matches the Rfam family "Bacterial large subunit ribosomal RNA". The record is from RNAcentral. Lineage: Bacteria; Pseudomonadati; Pseudomonadota; Gammaproteobacteria; Enterobacterales; Enterobacteriaceae.
GGGUUGUGAGGUUAAGCGACCAAGCGUACACGGUGGAUGCCCUGGCAGUCAGAGGCGAUGAAGGACGUGCUAAUCUGCGAAAAGCGCCGGUAAGGUGAUAUGAACCGUUAUAACCGGCGAUGUCCGAAUGGGGAAACCCAGUGUGACUCGUCACACUAUCAUUAACUGAAUCCAUAGGUUAAUGAGGCGAACCGGGGGAACUGAAACAUCUAAGUACCCCGAGGAAAAGAAAUCAACCGAGAUUCCCCCAGUAGCGGCGAGCGAACGGGGAGGAGCCCAGAGCCUGAAUCAGCAUGUGUGUUAGUGGAAGCGUCUGGAAAGGCGCGCGAUACAGGGUGACAGCCCCGUACACAAAAGCGCACGUGCUGUGAGCUCGAUGAGUAGGGCGGGACACGUGGUAUCCUGUCUGAAUAUGGGGGGACCAUCCUCCAAGGCUAAAUACUCCUGACUGACCGAUAGUGAACCAGUACCGUGAGGGAAAGGCGAAAAGAACCCCGGCGAGGGGAGUGAAACAGAACCUGAAACCGUGUACGUACAAGCAGUGGGAGCCCCACCACUAAGCCAGUGGUGAACUCCACAUACGCAUCCUUUGCUGAGGAUGCGGUUAACGGAGCGAAAGCGACGUUCAACCGCAAAAGAAGCAGAGGGGGCUUAGUGGUGGGGUGACUGCGUACCUUUUGUAUAAUGGGUCAGCGACUUAUAUUCUGUAGCAAGGUUAACCGCAUAGGGGAGCCGGAGGGAAACCGAGUCUUAACCGGGCGUUAAGUUGCAGGGUAUAGACCCGAAACCCGGUGAUCUAGCCAUGGGCAGGUUGAAGGUUGGGUAACACUAACUGGAGGACCGAACCGACUAAUGUUGAAAAAUUAGCGGAUGACCUGUGGCUGGGGGUGAAAGGCCAAUCAAACCGGGAGAUAGCUGGUUCUCCCCGAAAGCUAUUUAGGUAGCGCCUCGUGAAUUCAUCUCCGGGGGUAGAGCACUGUUUCGGCCAGGGGGCCAUCCCGGCUUACCAAUCCGAUGCAAACUGCGAAUACCGGAGAAUGUUAUCACGGGAGACACACGGCGGGUGCUAACGUCCGUCGUGAAGAGGGAAACAACCCAGACCGCCAGCUAAGGUCCCAAAGUCAUGGUUAAGUGGGAAACGAUGUGGGAAGGCCCAGACAGCCAGGAUGUUGGCUUAGAAGCAGCCAUCAUUUAAAGAAAGCGUAAUAGCUCACUGGUCGAGUCGGCCUGCGCGGAAGAUGUAACGGGGCUAAACCAUGCACCGAAGCUGCGGCAGCGAACGUAUCACCCAAGACAACUUUACACAGUUGACGCCUGACGGAGCGAAGCGACGUCAAAGCGUUUUACAACGUCGAGUUGGCUUAGGGAUACGUUCGUUGGGUAGGGGAGCGUUCUGUAAGCCGUUGAAGGUGUGUCGUGAGGCAUGCUGGAGGUAUCAGAAGUGCGAAUGCUGACAUAAGUAACGAUAAAGCGGGUGAAAAGCCCGCUCGCCGGAAGACCAAGGGUUCCUGUCCAACGUUAAUCGGGGCAGGGUGAGUCGACCCCUAAGGCGAGGCCGAAAGGCGUAGUCGAUGGGAAACGGGUUAAUAUUCCCGUACUUGGUGUUACUGCGAAGGGGGGACGGAGAAGGCUAUGUUGGCCGGGCGACGGUUGUCCCGGUUUAAGCGUGUAGGUGUGUGUUCCAGGUAAAUCCGGUUCACUUUAACACUGAGGCGUGAUGACGAGGCACUACGGUGCUGAAGCAACAAAUGCCCUGCUUCCAGGAAAAGCCUCUAAGCCUCAGGUAACAUCAAAUCGUACCCCAAACCGACACAGGUGGUCAGGUAGAGAAUACCAAGGCGCUUGAGAGAACUCGGGUGAAGGAACUAGGCAAAAUGGUGCCGUAACUUCGGGAGAAGGCACGCUGACACGUAGGUGAAGUGGUUUACCCAUGGAGCUGAAGUCAGUCGAAGAUACCAGCUGGCUGCAACUGUUUAUUAAAAACACAGCACUGUGCAAACACGAAAGUGGACGUAUACGGUGUGACGCCUGCCCGGUGCCGGAAGGUUAAUUGAUGGGGUCAGCGCAAGCGAAGCUCCUGAUCGAAGCCCCGGUAAACGGCGGCCGUAACUAUAACGGUCCUAAGGUAGCGAAAUUCCUUGUCGGGUAAGUUCCGACCUGCACGAAUGGCGUAAUGAUGGCCAGGCUGUCUCCACCCGGGACUCAGUGAAAUUGAACUCGCUGUGAAGAUGCAGUGUACCCGCGGCAAGACGGAAAGACCCCGUGAACCUUUACUAUAGCUUGACACUGAACACUGGUCCUUGAUGUGCAGGAUAGGUGGGAGGCUUUGAAGUGUGGACGCCAGUCUGCAUGGAGCCAUCCUUGAAAUACCACCCUUUAAUGGCUGGUGUUCUAACGUGGGCCCGUGAACCGGGUUGCGGACAGUGUCUGGUGGGUAGUUUGACUGGGGCGGUCUCCUCCUAAAGAGUAACGGAGGAGCACGAAGGUUGGCUAAUCCUGGUCGGACAUCAGGAGGUUAGUGCAAUGGCAUAAGCCAGCUUGACUGCGAGCGUGACGGCGCGAGCAGGUGCGAAAGCAGGUCAUAGUGAUCCGGUGGUUCUGAAUGGAAGGGCCAUCGCUCAACGGAUAAAAGGUACUCCGGGGAUAACAGGCUGAUACCGCCCAAGAGUUCAUAUCGACGGCGGUGUUUGGCACCUCGAUGUCGGCUCAUCACAUCCUGGGGCUGAAGUAGGUCCCAAGGGUAUGGCUGUUCGCCAUUUAAAGUGGUACGCGAGCUGGGUUUAGAACGUCGUGAGACAGUUCGGUCCCUAUCUGCCGUGGGCGCUGGAAGAUUGAGGGGGGCUGCUCCUAGUACGAGAGGACCGGAGUGGACGCAUCACUGGUGUUCGGGUUGUCAUGCCAAUGGCACUGCCCGGUAGCUACAUGCGGAAGAGAUAAGUGCUGAAAGCAUCUAAGCACGAAACUUGCCCCGAGAUGAAUCUUCCCUGAGCCUUUAAGGCUCCUGAAGGAACGUUGAAGACGACGACGUUGAUAGGCCGGGUGUGUAAGCGCAGCGAUGCGUUGAGCUAACCGGUACUAAUGAACCGUGAGGCUUAACCUUACAACGCCGAAG